UUAAUCGGGAGGCAACUGGAAGGGAUCCUCCCCGAUGGACGAAAGUCUGAACGAACCACCCCCCCGGGAUGGAGAAGGGUUUCCGAACCGAAAACCCCGGUUGCCGGGAAGAACGCCUGGGAAAAUUACUGGCCCCCAAGGGGCCGGACCCGGGAAAAAAGCCCCCGAUAAAUUCCUGGCCACCGCCCGGGUAAUACCUAAGGGGCCAACCUUGGCCCGAAUUAUUGGGCGUAAAACGGGCCCCAGCCGUUGAUUAAGUCUGGGGUUUAAGGCUGGGGCUCCACCCCGCGUCCCACCGGAAACCGGAUUACUUGAGGGCCGAAAAAGAAAGGGGAAUCCCCCGUGGAACCGCGAAAUGUCGAAAGAAGUGGAAGAACCACCGUGGGGAAAGCCACUUUCCGGGCUGGUACCUGACCUGAAGCUCCAAAUCCUGGGGAACCAACCAGAAUAGAAACCCUGGUAAUCCCCCCCGGAAACCAAGCAUGCCACGAGGUAAGGGUUUUCAAACCCUUUGUG
Molecule: ribosomal RNA, 516 nt
Filed under: bacterium A3S_VP5_G8
Lineage: Bacteria
Description: partial 16S ribosomal RNA
Rfam family: Bacterial small subunit ribosomal RNA
Source: RNAcentral